ACGUACCUUUUGGUUCGGAACAACUGAGGGAAACUUCAGCUAAUACCGGAUAAGCCCUAACGGGGAAAGAUUUAUCGCCGAAAGAUCGGCCCGCGUCUGAUUAGCUAGUUGGUAGGGUAAUGGCCUACCAAGGCGACGAUCAGUAGCUGGUCUGAGAGGAUGAUCAGCCACAUUGGGACUGAGACACGGCCCAAACUCCUACGGGAGGCAGCAGUGGGGAAUAUUGGACAAUGGGCGCAAGCCUGAUCCAGCCAUGCCGCGUGAGUGAUGAAGGCCCUAGGGUUGUAAAGCUCUUUUGUACGGGAAGAUAAUGACGGUACCGUAAGAAUAAGCCCCGGCUAACUUCGUGCCAGCAGCCGCGGUAAUACGAAGGGGGCUAGCGUUGCUCGGAAUCACUGGGCGUAAAGGGUGCGUAGGCGGGUUUUUAAGUCAGAGGUGAAAUCCUGGAGCUCAACUCCAGAACUGCCUUUGAUACUGAAAGUCUUGAGUAUGGGAGAGGUGAGUGGAACUGCGAGUGUAGAGGUGAAAUUCGUAGAUAUUCGCAAGAACACCAGUGGCGAAGGCGGCUCACUGGCCCAUAACUGACGCUGAGGCACGAAAGCGUGGGGAGCAAACAGGAUUAGAUACCNUGGUAGUCCACGCCGUAAACGAUGAAUGCCAGCCGUUAGUGGGUUUACUCACUAGUGGCGCAGCUAACGCUUUAAGCAUUCCGCCUGGGGAGUACGGUCGCAAGAUUAAAACUCAAAGGAAUUGACGGGGGCCCGCACAAGCGGUGGAGCAUGUGGUUUAAUUCGACGCAACGCGCAGAACCUUACCAGCCCUUGACAUGUCUAUGACCGGUACCAGAGAUGGAACCUUCCCUUCGGGGCAUAGAGCACAGGUGCUGCAUGGCUGUCGUCAGCUCGUGUCGUGAGAUGUUGGGUUAAGUCCCGCAACGAGCGCAACCCCCGUCCUUAGUUGCUACCAUUUAGUUGAGCACUCUAAGGAGACUGCCGGUGAUAAGCCGCGAGGAAGGUGGGGAUGACGUCAAGUCCUCAUGGCCCUUACGGGCUGGGCUACACACGUGCUACAAUGGCGGUGACAAUGGGAUGCAAAGGGGCGACCCCUCGCAAAUCUCAAAAAGCCGUCUCAGUUCGGAUUGAGCUCUGCAACUCGAGCCCAUGAAGUUGGAAUCGCUAGUAAUCGUGGAUCAGCAUGCCACGGUGAAUACGUUCCCGGGCCUUGUACACACCGCCCGUCACACCAUGGGAGUUGGUUCUACCUGAAGGCAGUGCGCUAACCCGCAAGGGGGGCAGCUGACCACGGUAGGGUCAGCGACUGGGGGAAGUC
This 1329-nucleotide ribosomal RNA is filed under the name uncultured Afipia sp. Its description in RNAcentral is "bacterial SSU rRNA". It matches the Rfam family "Bacterial small subunit ribosomal RNA", at positions 124 to 1487 of the family's 1533-position model. The record is from RNAcentral. Lineage: Bacteria; Pseudomonadati; Pseudomonadota; Alphaproteobacteria; Hyphomicrobiales; Nitrobacteraceae.